RNAcentral lists this unclassified non-coding RNA (341 nucleotides) under soil metagenome. Its description in RNAcentral is "partial contains 5.8S ribosomal RNA, internal transcribed spacer 2, and large subunit ribosomal RNA". The stretch from base 1 to 120 matches the Rfam family "5.8S ribosomal RNA", at positions 35 to 154 of the family's 154-position model. The record is from RNAcentral.
GAUGAAGAACGCAGCGAAAUGCGAUAAGUAGUGUGAAUUGCAGAAUUCAGUGAAUCAUCGAAUCUUUGAACGCACAUUGCGCCCUUUGGUAUUCCAAAGGGCAUGCCUGUUCGAGCGUCAUUUGUACCCUCAAGCUUUGCUUGGUGUUGGGCGUCUUGUCUCUAGCUUUGCUGGAGACUCGCCUUAAAGUAAUUGGCAGCCGGCCUACUGGUUUCGGAGCGCAGCACAAGUCGCACUCUCUAUCAGCAAAGGUCUAGCAUCCAUUAAGCCUUUGUUUCAACUUUUGACCUCGGAUCAGGUAGGGAUACCCGCUGAACUUAAGCAUAUCAAUAAGCGGAGGA